AUACGUAGGAUCCGAGCGUUAUCCGGAUUUAUUGGGUUUAAAGGGUGCGCAGGCGGGAGAUUAAGUCGGCGGUGAAAUUUUGCAGCUCAACUGUAAAAGUGCCUUCGAAACUGGUUUCCUUGAGUGUAGAUGAAGUAGGCGGAAUUUGUGGUGUAGCGGUGAAAUGCAUAGAUAUCACGAGGAACUCCGAUUGCGCAGGCAGCUUACUAAACUACUACUGACGCUCAGGCACGAAGGCGUGGGGAUCAAACAGGAUUAGAUACCCUGGUAGUCCACGCAGUAAACGAUGAUUACUAGCUGUUUGCGAUACAAUGUAAGCGGCUGAGCGAAAGCGUUAAGUAAUCCACCUGGGGAGUACGUUCGCAAGAAUGAAACUCAAAGGAAUUGACGGGG
RNAcentral lists this ribosomal RNA (393 nucleotides) under uncultured bacterium. RNAcentral describes it as "partial 16S ribosomal RNA". It matches the Rfam family "Bacterial small subunit ribosomal RNA", at positions 523 to 918 of the family's 1533-position model. The record is from RNAcentral.